AGAGUUUGAUCCUGGCUCAGAUUGAACGCUGGCGGCAUGCCUUACACAUGCAAGUCGAACGGUAACAGGUCUUCGGAUGCUGACGAGUGGCGAACGGGUGAGUAAUACAUCGGAACGUGCCCGAUCGUGGGGGAUAACGGAGCGAAAGCUUUGCUAAUACCGCAUAAGAUCUGAGGAUGAAAGCAGGGGACCGCAAGGCCUUGCGCGGACGGAGCGGCCGAUGGCAGAUUAGGUAGUUGGUGGGAUAAAAGCCUACCAAGCCGACGAUCUGUAGCUGGUCUGAGAGGACGACCAGCCACACUGGGACUGAGACACGGCCCAGACUCCUACGGGAGGCAGCAGUGGGGAAUUUUGGACAAUGGGCGCAAGCCUGAUCCAGCCAUGCCGCGUGCAGGAUGAAGGCCCUCGGGUUGUAAACUGCUUUUGUACGGAACGAAAAGGCCCUGGAUAAUACCUGGGGGUUGCUGAUGGUACCGUAAGAAUAAGCACCGGCUAACUACGUGCCAGCAGCCCCGGUAAUACGUAGGGUGCAAGCGUUAAUCGGNAUUACUGGGCGUAAAGCGUGCCCAGGCGGU
This 575-nucleotide ribosomal RNA is filed under the name uncultured bacterium. RNAcentral's name for it is "bacterial SSU rRNA". It matches the Rfam family "Bacterial small subunit ribosomal RNA", at positions 8 to 579 of the family's 1533-position model. The record is from RNAcentral.